GUGAAUCAUCAAAUUUUUGAACGCAAAUUGCGCUUCCUGGCAUCCCGGGAAGUAUGCCUGUUUGAGGGUCAGUAUUAACAAAAAAUCGGUUUGGUUGCAAAUUGUGGCGUUUCCGGCGUUUGGGCUAUCUUAACUUUUUUGGUUAAGGGGCUUAAAAUUGACCUUUUUUGCGCAUUUUUAGACGUACAUAAAUUUUUUUUUAAUCGUUCUAUUUUUAUUGCCAAAUUCUAAUUAGAGACCAUAUCU
Molecule: unclassified non-coding RNA, 246 nt
Filed under: Glomeraceae sp.
Lineage: Eukaryota; Fungi; Glomeromycota; Glomeromycetes; Glomerales; Glomeraceae
Description: partial contains 5.8S ribosomal RNA and internal transcribed spacer 2
Rfam family: 5.8S ribosomal RNA (bases 1-71)
Source: RNAcentral